Molecule: signal recognition particle RNA, 148 nt
Filed under: Nomascus leucogenys (northern white-cheeked gibbon)
Lineage: Eukaryota; Metazoa; Chordata; Mammalia; Primates; Hylobatidae
Description: Metazoan signal recognition particle RNA
Rfam family: Metazoan signal recognition particle RNA
About the family: The signal recognition particle (SRP) is a universally conserved ribonucleoprotein. It is involved in the co-translational targeting of proteins to membranes.
Source: Rfam by way of RNAcentral
GCUGGGUGUGGUGGUGCGUGCCUGUAAUCCCAGCUACUCAGGAGGCUGAGGCAGGAGAAUUGCUUAAAUCCAGGAGACUGAGGCUGCAGUGAGCCAAGAUCGUGCCACUGCACUCCAGCCUGGGUGACAGAGCAAGACUCUGUCUCAG